UACGGGGGGGGCAAGCGUUGUUCGGAAUUACUGGGCGUAAAGGGCUCGUAGGUGGCCAACUAAGUCAGACGUGAAAUCCCUCGGCUUAACCGGGGAACUGCGUCUGAUACUGGAUGGCUUGAGUUUGGGAGAGGGAUGCGGAAUUCCAGGUGUAGCGGUGAAAUGCGUAGAUAUUGGGAAGAACACCAGUGGCGUAGGCGACUAGCUGGGCCGUAACUGACGCUGAGGAACGAAAGCCAGGGGAGCGAAUGGG
Molecule: ribosomal RNA, 253 nt
Filed under: uncultured prokaryote
Description: partial 16S ribosomal RNA
Rfam family: Bacterial small subunit ribosomal RNA
Source: RNAcentral